RNAcentral lists this ribosomal RNA (253 nucleotides) under uncultured bacterium. RNAcentral describes it as "partial 16S ribosomal RNA". It matches the Rfam family "Bacterial small subunit ribosomal RNA", at positions 524 to 776 of the family's 1533-position model. The record is from RNAcentral.
UACGAAGGUCCCGAGCGUUGUUCGGAAUCACUGGGCGUAAAGGGAGCGUAGGCGGCGUGGUUAGUCAGAUGUGAAAUCCCGGGGCUCAACCCCGGAACUGCAUCCGAUACUGCCAUGCUAGAGUGAUGGAGAGGUAGCUGGAAUUCUUGGUGUAGCAGUGAAAUGCGUGGAGAUCAAGAGGAACACUCGUGGCGAAAGCGAGCUACUGGACAUUUACUGACGCUGAUGGACGAAAGCUAGGGGAGCGAAAGGG